AUAUAAGUACAGCUACAAAAUUAUUCUCAUGCAAUUUUAUCAUUGUUAGAAUCUAAAAUGAUAUCAAAAUAAAAUGAUAUAAAAUAUGACAAACUCAAUUUAUUUAAAUGGUUAUUAGAAAACGUAUGAAAUUUUUAUGAUUUUUAUAAAAUUAUAAUUUUUAACUUAAUUAAAAACCAGCUUUUAAUAUCGAAUCAGAUCACGAUUUUAGCAUGUUUGACCGGUUUUUGAUUUGGAUUUACCGGUAUAACUCAAAUCCGGUUUUUAACACAACCAGAAACAAGUCGAAAAAAUAAGUCACGGUCUGACCAGUUUGAUCUACCGUCUCUGGUCCGAUUUUGAAAACAUUAAUUACAAUUUAUAAUGAUAAAAGCAAUUUAAAAAUAUAUUAUAUAUUUAAAUAAUAAAAAUAACAAUAAUAUACAUAAUAUACAAAUACAAUACGUAAAUAACAAUAAAUAUUUCACUAAAGUUAUGUUACUAAAAUUUAAAAUUAAAAAAAUGAAAAUAUUAGUAAUUAACCAAAUAUUUCUAUUUUCUAUUAAAAAAACAUCUCAUUGUCUACUUAUCUCUCUUUUUAUAUGAUAUGUGAAUUUUUAAUUAUGUAAAUAUAUAAUAUUGUAGUUUAAAUAUGGUUAGUAUUAAAUAUAAAAGAUUAUAGAAGAUUAUUAAAUAUAUUAAUAAUUUGUAAUAAAAUCAUUUAUUGGUCAAAAAAGAAAAAAAGUGGGAGAACAUCACCAAAUAGUAGUAGACAGAACUGCAUGUGGGAGAUCUGCUUUUUCACAGAAAAAGACAAAAAAUUCUGAACUGCUUGCUGUUCUCCUGCCAAAUAAAUUUUAAAAACAGAAAAUGGUGAAUGGGUGAUUCAAGUGCAGUUCUCCUGCAACAGCAGAUGAUCUGCCUUUCUCCUGCCUCCCAUUCAUAACCUUAGUUGGCCUUUCAUUCACCUAGAUUGUACAUACCCAAUUGAAAUUUACUUAACUUCUCUCUAAACAUAUGUCAGUUAACCAGUUUAUUCAUAUUCUUAAUUAUCUAUCCUUUCACAUAGCGACUGGCCUGUUACUGCUGCAAUUUUCUUUUCAAAGAAUAUUUGAAAUUGCAUUUUUCUGAGGGAAUCACGAUAUCUAACCUAUAUUAAAAGGGUUAUAUGAGCAUCAGAGAGUGUGUCCACAUAGGACAAUUAAAUCAGCAAAUCAGGAGACUUCUUUUUGACACGUCAGCAAACUCUCUCUUCUUUAGGUGGGCCUUACUUACACGAUAAAUAUUUAUUUUACGAUUGCGUUUUCGUCUGAAUUAUUUAUUGGAUUAGAAAAAUCUUCUUUCUCUCAACUUUUUAUCUUCAGUAUCUCUUCGGCUUCUUCUCUUUCUCACGGGUGAAACAGAGACUGCUAGAUUACAGGGAAGUAGAUGAAACACAACAAACAACAGAUUUCAAGCAAAAAGAUUUGGAACAUGGGGAAGAACACGAAGGAGGCUACGCCUCAACCUCCGAUGAACACCGACGGCAUGGAGAUUCAGUUAUCUGGUCAUCACUACGACGGGGUGUCCAUGCCAGCCGAUAGAACUGUCGCCGGUGUACCUUCAAAGCACCGCCGUCUCGGAGGGGUCAUGCGGCCACAUAACGUCGGAUUUGCAAAGAACACCGACUCCCUAUCUCGCCACAUUGACUGCGAAGAGGCUCCACCACUCAUAGGUCCGAACAAUCACAUGAUCCUCCUCCUACACUCACCGUUCGAGAAGUAACUAUGUCGGAAAGUAAACGAACCUGGAGAACAGCCUUCUCCGUGGUAGAUCUGCCGUCAAACGAGCCCCUCCCAACAGAUCGAUACAAACCCUAGAAAUUCCAAUGACUGAUUUUCGUUAUUCGCCGGGGCUCCACCGUCCUCUAGCAGAGCAACACCUUCAACGAGCCGCCAGGACCCAUGAGGCACUCCUAGGGAUCCGCAGCGCCAUGGAUUGAAAAACGGUAUCGGAAAAAGGAGAAGAGAAGCACCACUGAAACGUCACCGGAUGCCAACUACUUCGUCAGUAGGCUCAGACGCCGAAGGAGGUGGUGGGUGGGAGCCGGCCCGACUGUCCGACGAAGCUAAUUAUGACUGUUAGAUUUGAUGUUGGUUCAAAUGAAUUUAAUUAUAGUUCUGGGUCGCUACUUUUUUCCUUAUACGAACAGGGUCUUUAGUCUGCUUCACUAGAUUUGGGUUUAUAUAGUGAAUGGAAUCACUCUGUUCUAAAGGAUAUGGUACAUGUAGAAUCUAUCUGGGUUUGAGAGCCAUGAGAUUCUUAGUGUUCUAUCUUUCUCUGAUUCUAGGUGAAAAACAUUGUUUUGGCUAUAAAAAUUCAGAUUCGUGUGUCAAAUUUUCAUGGUACUUGACAAGAGUACAACUUUUCUUACCAUGAAAAGACAUAAACUUUAUAACUUGCAUUGUUGUUUAUAACUUGCAUUGUUGUUGCUUGCUUUUAUGUUAAUUGUAUAUGCUUUGUGAGCUCAUAGUAGCUAUACAUUUACAGGUUUUUGAUCUUACAGAUGUGAAACACCAUGAUUUUGUACGUUAAGGUUUGGCGUUUUUGAGACCUUUGCAGCGAAAGGGGAUGAUUGUGCAAGAGAAUGCAGAGAAAAGAUGCAGAUCAUGGUAGCAGGUGGUGAUGGUACAGGUGCUAGGGUUCGCCAAUCUCUUAUCCAUAAGUAGGUGGGAAUGUCAAUAUACUGUUGACAGAAGUUUUCAGCUGGCAUAGCUCCAUGUAUAGUAGUGAUAUUCUUCCCCUCUCGAGUGUUUAAUGAAAGUCAUCCACCAUGGAGUUUUCUCUAUAAAUAAGUUUUUGAUGUUGGUUAUGUUUGAAAGUGACAAGGACCCGGUAAGUACUCUAGAUAAGUAGGUGUAUUCAUAUAAUUGGAGAAUAAACAGCGUGUCAUUGUUGGUUUGUUUCAAAGACGAGAAUAAAAAGCCUUACUAGAAGUUUUUAAGACA
Brassica napus (rape) is the source of this 2966-nucleotide long non-coding RNA. RefSeq lists it as uncharacterized. The record is from RefSeq and is a predicted model, not a curated record. The transcript has 2 exons. NCBI's taxonomy places the organism in Eukaryota, Viridiplantae, Streptophyta, Magnoliopsida, Brassicales, Brassicaceae.